This is a non-coding RNA of Gasterosteus aculeatus aculeatus (three-spined stickleback), 3269 nucleotides long. Lineage: Eukaryota; Metazoa; Chordata; Actinopteri; Perciformes; Gasterosteidae. The record is from RefSeq and is a predicted model, not a curated record.
GUACCAUACCGCUCGGUGGAAACGCGCCAUAACGUGGGAACAGUUGCUCUUUGUGGGCUGAAUCACAAUUAACAAUGUUUGAGCUUGACGACCUGCAUAUUGAGCUCAUGUAUGUUGUCUUUAAAGGUGUGUUGUGUAAAAUAUAUAAACCUCAUGUUCCACGCUGAACAGCUUGCUUAGAGAUCUUGGAUAAAACCCAAUAAAGUGGAUUUUUAGUAUUUAAACGUUUACAAUCUUUUUUUAAUUAACUUUGGCUUUAUUUCUAAUUUAAAGGACGAAUGUUGAUUUGGUUGUAAAUAUAUUCCAUGAACAGAUUACCGACAGCAGAUAUCAAUUAAUGCCUGUUUCCUUAUAGAGAUAAAAUGACAUUCUGAUAAACACCAAAAAAAGCUCAAAUCAACUUUAACUUUACCUCCGACACGAAGCCUGCGAGCGUCAUGCCGUCCAACAUCUUCAUCAGGAAGUCGUCCUCCAUCAGCGACCUCUGACCCAUGAAGGCCGCCUGCGGGAACACACAACAUACUAAGCUGAUGGCGACCUCUCUCGUCAGAGCACACAGGUGAUUGGCUGGAGGGGAUAUUCACAUGCAGAAUUUUUUUAUUACAGACAUUAUGGAAGCGGAUCACCGGUUCUGGGUGAAUGCGGAUGAUGUGUAAACACCAGCGGUAGUCCUGGAAGAGCCGAGUGAGCAGCCACAGGAAGCCCUGGAUCUCCAUGUUCUGGAACACACAGUCAGGUUGUGCUUCGGCUCGUCCCCCCAUGUGGCCCCGAGUGGCAGCUCCGCUUCAUCCGGGAGACGUCGCCCCUGCGCUCACACAUCUGUAGCUGUCUGCGCCCGGGGUCUUUGUGCGAGUCUCAGCCGCUGAUCGGGCUGUAUAAUGUGACCGAUGUCCUCUGGGCAAUCUGCCGUUGGGACAAGGACGUGCCCGGGGUGAUCCAGAGGCGGACUGGCGCCCGACUAACGGAGAGGACACCGUGACCUCUGAGGUUGUCUGGGUGCCAAACCGGCCUGUCAAUUAUGCGUCCGGACACACGACCUUCGCCGCUGGAACCAGCCUUUCCGCCGCCGCCCCAAAAUGCACCAGCAUCAAAGCCUUAUCCGUCACCAGAUGGAUGCUGAGUCUGAGCUACGUGAAACACAGGGAUAAGAUCUGCAGAUAUGAAAGCAGCCUAAUGGCAGACUGGAGAAUUGAGUAUGAAGCGGUGGCAUAAGCGGGCAUACAUUAUCCUUUAGAUACCCUCAGUACUCACACAGCAGAAAAUAAUGUACUGCAUUAUAUAAGACUUAAAUGUAUCUCACAAGACGAGCAUUUUGUUUCCCCCCAGUGUGAAUAAUGACCUGCACUUUAGGUCUCACAACAUCAGAGAGGAAUAACUAUUUAUCUAUCAUUUACGGGUAUGAAGAGAAACCGUAAUCACAUGUGUGUCUGCUUCCUGCAGGCGAGGGGGGCAGGCUGGGUGAGGGUCCCGGAGGGGAUAGGGUAACAGGUGGGCCGAAUGCCAUUCACAAGGGUCAGACCGCACAAUGCCAGCUUCUCCCUUUGAUGCUGAUACCAUCUUCUGUGUGUCUGCUCGGCCCGGGUCCCUAUUUCACCGCUCAGCGACUCUACAUCCACUUGCCUCCGAUUGUGUCGGCGGAACAGCCCCCGGAUCCAAUAACGCAGUCCCGCUGUAAGGAAAUUACCCGUUUUAAUAAUGGCCGUCAACACAUGCCCUGUGGAUAGAAUAUGAAAUAUAUAUAUAUAAUAUUCAGAAUCCAAGUGUGUUUGUGUAGGUGAGCAGCAUCAAAUCCCAUCAGUGAGUUUUAUCAGAGCCUUUAAAAUGUACUUAAUUAACAUUUUUCUAUUGUGAGAGGGCUUUUCGUUUUGUAUUGCCCACGUAAACUAAACUCUUUUGGAGUAGAUCAGAGAAUAUUGACAUUUUAUUCUGGUCAAUUUAAAGGCACUUUAACACAAAAUAUCUCUAGAUCACCUUAAAAUGAAACAAGGGGGAUAUUCAGAGCAUUAAUAUAGCAGCAAACCACUAUUUUCUAUGUAAACGUAUAGUAGAGUAACAUUUAAUGUCACUUGUAACAUCACUGUUAGCAACUGGUGAGAGCCAUAGAGCGGCAAACCCAACGCUCCCAAUCUCAUAAAUAGCACCUUUAACACGGAGUACGUCCUCAUAAGAGCCACACGACUCCACACACGUCCCCCAUGAGUACGCUAAGCCGGCACCACCAGUAAUGUGUUUGUAUGCAGAACAAAUAGGAUUUAAUCCCCGAAGCUGUUAGACUUGUGAGCAUCCACAGUACAUGAAGGGAUCAGCAUUCCUUGUGUAUAGCAUUAUAAAUCAGCUUGCACUUUUGACCCAUCACACUCUCUGGUCUAUGUCAAUUUAAAAAUUGUGCUUUUUAUUUUUUUUUGCGUGUACGUGUGCAUGUGUGUAAAUUCAUUGUAUGUGUAUUUCUGUGCGGUUGGCUGCCUUGGAUUUAAUUUAGAAACUAAAUUAUGUGAGCGAUGACCAUUUUGUCAUUUCCCCGAAUCCCUCGGCUUUUGUUUUGUGCACAGAAAACACAUUAGCCGACUAUCUUCAAUGUGGUUUGACAUGAAAUCCAGGCGACAGUGUAACAACAGCAUAACCACAAGAAAGAAAACAAACCAUUUGUUGCAAAGAUGCAACUCGAUAUCCGCAGAAACGUCUCGCAUUUUCAUUGGCUUAGUGGACCAAUGGCAGCCAUCUAUAGGCGCACGGGACCAUAACAUAGAGACGAGGAACUGAGAGGAAAGACCACGGGAGGAGUUGAUGAGUCAUUGAUGAGACAUACAUUAUUAAUGAGCAUCAUGAUUGCAGAACAAAGAUUGGAAAUACGCAAUGCCAUCUGGACUACGAGUACGAUUUGUCAAAACAAAAGGGAAAAAUUGAAUUUUGAUUAAGUUUAUUACUGGGUCAAGAUCUAAUUCAUACAGCCACUCGUUGCCGUUUUCCCGACUGUGCUUGCGGUCCAGAAAGUGAAUUAUCAUGUUGAAAGGUCAUGGGCAUCCUCACAUUCUGAGCACUUCAGUGCAGUCAUUUACAAUAUUAUGAUAAUGUGCUUCGCCUUUAUUCGAUUGUAAAAGUUUAAUUGCAUUGGAUUGGAUCCACGGGAACAUUGGAAUAGCGUAUGCUGUCUUUAAUAAUCGUACUUUCUAGUGCGAUCACAAAGGGCCGGCCAGUGAGUUUCCCCGGGCAGCAUGUGGAAAGGUUGUGCAGCGGCUACUAGCUUUUAAGUAAAUUAUAAGCUAGGGGUG